This 1427-nucleotide ribosomal RNA is filed under the name metagenome. RNAcentral describes it as "bacterial SSU rRNA". It matches the Rfam family "Bacterial small subunit ribosomal RNA". The record is from RNAcentral.
AGGCCUUCGGGUGCUGACGAGCGGCGGACGGGUGAGGAAUGCAUAGGAAUCUGCCUAUUAGUGGGGGAUAACACGGGGAAACUCGUGCUAAUACCGCAUACGUCCUACGGGAGAAAGCGGGGGAUCUUCGGACCUCGCGCUAAUAGAUGAGCCUAUGCCGGAUUAGCUAGUUGGUAGGGUAAAGGCUUACCAAGGCGACGAUCCGUAGCUGGUCUGAGAGGAUGAUCAGCCACACUGGGACUGAGACACGGCCCAGACUCCUACGGGAGGCAGCAGUGGGGAAUAUUGGACAAUGGGCGCAAGCCUGAUCCAGCCAUGCCGCGUGUGUGAAGAAGGCCUUCGGGUUGUAAAGCACUUUAAGUGGGGAGGAAGGUUAGUGGUUUAAUACGCUACUAAAUUGACGUUACCCACAGAAUAAGCACCGGCUGACUCUGUGCCAGCAGCCGCGGUAAUACAGAGGGUGCAAGCGUUAAUCGGAAUUACUGGGCGUAAAGCGCGCGUAGGUGGUUUUGUAAGUUGAAUGUGAAAUCCCCGGGCUUAACCUGGGAAUGGCAUCCAAAACUGCACGACUAGAGUAUGGGAGAGGGAGGUAGAAUUCCAGGUGUAGCGGUGAAAUGCGUAGAGAUCUGGAGGAAUACCGGUGGCGAAGGCGGCCUCCUGGCCUAAUACUGACACUGAGGUGCGAAAGCGUGGGUAGCAAACAGGAUUAGAUACCCUGGUAGUCCACGCCGUAAACGAUGAGAACUAGCCGUUGGUCUCCUUGAGAGGUUAGUGGCGCAGCUAACGCGAUAAGUUCUCCGCCUGGGGAGUACGGCCGCAAGGUUAAAACUCAAAUGAAUUGACGGGGGCCCGCACAAGCGGUGGAGCAUGUGGUUUAAUUCGACGCAACGCGAAGAACCUUACCUGGUCUUGACAUCCACGGAAUCCUGCAGAGAUGUGGGGGUGCCUUCGGGAACCGUGAGACAGGUGCUGCAUGGCUGUCGUCAGCUCGUGUUGUGAAAUGUUGGGUUAAGUCCCGUAACGAGCGCAACCCUUGUCCUUAGUUGCCAGCGAGUAAUGUCGGGAACUCUAAGGAGACUGCCGGUGACAAACCGGAGGAAGGUGGGGACGACGUCAAGUCAUCAUGCCCCUUACGACCAGGGCUACACACGUGCUACAAUGGCCGGUACAGAGGGUUGCCAAGCCGCGAGGUGGAGCCAACCCCGAAAAGCCGGUCGUAGUCCGGAUUGCAGUCUGCAACUCGACUGCAUGAAGUCGGAAUCGCUAGUAAUCGCAGAUCAGAAUGCUGCGGUGAAUACGUUCCCGGGCCUUGUACACACCGCCCGUCACACCAUGGGAGUGGGUUGCACCAGAAGUAGUUAGCUUAACCGCAAGGGGAGCGAUUACCACGGUGUGGUUCAUGACUGGGGUGAAGUCGUAACAAGGUA